CAACAGGGAUUGCCUCAGUAACGGCGAGUGAAGCGGCACAAGCUCAAAUUUGAAAUCUGGCUCUUUCAGGGUCCGAGUUGUAAUUUGUAGAAGAUGCUUCGGGUGUGGCCCCGGUCUAAGUUCCUUGGAACAGGACGUCAUAGAGGGUGAGAAUCCCGUAUGUGACUGGGUGCCUACGCUCAUGUGAAGCUCUUUCGACGAGUCGAGUUGUUUGGGAAUGCAGCUCAAAAUGGGUGGUAUAUUUCAUCUAAAGCUAAAUAUUGGCCAGAGACCGAUAGCGCACAAGUAGAGUGAUCGAAAGAUGAAAAGCACUUUGGAAAGAGAGUUAAACAGUACGUGAAAUUGUUGAAAGGGAAGCGCUUGCAAUCAGACUUGCGCCUGGGUAAUCAUCCGGGGUUCUCUCCGGUGCACUUGCUCAGGCUCAGGCCAGCAUCGGUUUGGGUGGUUGGAUAAAGGCCUUGGGAAUGUGGCCCCCUUCGGGGGGUGUUAUAGCCCUCGGUGCCAUGCAGCCUACCUGGACCGAGGACCGCGCUUCGGCUAGGAUGCUGGCGUAAUGGUUGUAAGCGACCCGUCUUGAAACACGGACCAAGGAGUCUAACAUCUAUGCGAGUGUUUGGGUGUCAAACCCAUACGCGUAAUGAAAGUGAACGGAGGUGAGAACCCUUUAGGGCGCAUCAUCGACCGAUCCUGAUGUCUUCGGAUGGAUUUGAGUAAGAGCAUAGCUGUUGGGACCCGAAAGAUGGUGAACUAUGCGUGAAUAGGGUGAAGCCAGAGGAAACUCUGGUGGAGGCUCGCAGCGGUUCUGACGUGCAAAUCGAUCGUCAAAUUUGCGUAUAGGGGCGAAAGACUAAUCGAACCAU
This 860-nucleotide ribosomal RNA is filed under the name Rutstroemia bulgarioides. RNAcentral's name for it is "partial large subunit ribosomal RNA". It matches the Rfam family "Eukaryotic large subunit ribosomal RNA", at positions 66 to 943 of the family's 3401-position model. The record is from RNAcentral. Lineage: Eukaryota; Fungi; Ascomycota; Leotiomycetes; Helotiales; Rutstroemiaceae.